UACAGAGGUCCCGAGCGUUGUUCGGAUUUACUGGGCGUAAAGGGCUCGUAGGCGGCCAACUAAGUCAAACGUGAAAUCCCUCGGCUUAACCGGGGAACUGCGCUUGAUACUGGAUGGCUUGAGAUUGGGAGAGGGAUGCGGAAUUCCAGGUGUAGCGGUGAAAUGCGUAGAUAUCUGGAGGAACACCGGUGGCGAAGGCGGCAUCCUGGACCAACACUGACGCUGAGGAGCGAAAGCCAGGGGAGCAAACGGG
This 253-nucleotide ribosomal RNA is filed under the name uncultured bacterium. RNAcentral's name for it is "partial 16S ribosomal RNA". It matches the Rfam family "Bacterial small subunit ribosomal RNA", at positions 524 to 776 of the family's 1533-position model. The record is from RNAcentral.